RNAcentral lists this ribosomal RNA (468 nucleotides) under uncultured bacterium. RNAcentral's name for it is "partial 16S ribosomal RNA". It matches the Rfam family "Bacterial small subunit ribosomal RNA", at positions 28 to 507 of the family's 1533-position model. The record is from RNAcentral.
GACGAACGCUGGCGGCGUGCUUAACACAUGCAAGUCGAACGGAAAGGCCCUGCUUUUGUGGGGUGCUCGAGUGGCGAACGGGUGAGUAACACGUGAGUAACCUGCCCUUGACUUUGGGAUAACUUCAGGCAACUGGGGCUCAUACCGGAUAGGAGCUCCUGCUGCAUGGUGGGGGUUGGAAAGUUUCGGCGGUUGGGGAUGGACUCGCGGCGUAUCAGCUUGUUGGUGGGGUAGUGGCUUACCAAGGCUUUGACGGGUAGCCGGCCUGAGAGGGUGACCGGCCACAUGGGGACUGAGAUACGGCCCAGACUCCUACGGGAGGCAGCAGUGGGGAAUAUUGCACAAUGGGCGGAAGCCUGAUGCAGCAACGCCGCGUGCGGGAUGACGGCCUUCGGGUUGUAAACCGCUUUCGCCUGUGACGAAGCGUGAGUGACGGUAAUGGGUAAAGAAGCACCGGCUAACUACGUG